Molecule: unclassified non-coding RNA, 4260 nt
Filed under: Hevea brasiliensis (rubber tree)
Lineage: Eukaryota; Viridiplantae; Streptophyta; Magnoliopsida; Malpighiales; Euphorbiaceae
Source: RNAcentral
UGAUCAUAAAGAUAAAUAACAACAAGAAGGUAAGAAGAGCACCCAUGCAUAGAGCUUGCUUAAUAGUGUAUUGUUUCAUAACAGAUGCAACACAGAUGUAUUAUUCAACUCAAAAUGAGUUCCACAAUCAUUAUUUAGAGAGCACUCAACUCCAUACGUAAAUUAAGAGCGAGCAUAACAUACAGGAACACGCCUCUGGAUGGGGGUUCUACAUGAAGGGCAAUCCUUCAUUCCUUGUUUCUCAUGGAGCUCAUUACAUGUUGUGCAAACCACUUGAUGGGCACAUGGGAGGAAAACCACUGACAUCUCUUCUGAAAGGCACAUCACACAUUCUCUCUCCCGUUUCACACUUCCUGUGUCAGAGUAUUCAUGAAAAUCUGCGGCUUCCAUUACUGAGUAAUAAGGAGUUGCGAACUCCUUUUGUGCAGUGCUAUUCUUAGCAUCUGUGAGUCUGCUAGCAUAGCUUUCACUGAUACCCCUUCGAAGGGCUGCAAUUUUUGAUGAGUCCGUCUUCAAUCUCAAUUGGUAGAUCUCUUUUUCAAGCCCCUGAAUAUCAUCCUUGUAUUUCUGCAAAUUAGUUUCAGCUUUCAAUUUCAUCACAUCCUCUUUAGAUUUAGCUGAAGUCUCAAUUUGUUCUCUUUCUUUUCUUAUUGAACUAGCCUGCAAAACUAGUUCUUCCUUCAACUUCUCUUCUUGUUGCCAUCUAGCCUGUAUUUUUUUUUAAGGUUAUUCACUGCAAAUGAAACCAAUGAUAAAAGCUGUAACUACUAACUACUGGCAUGCAAUUAUUGAAGGAUUAUAUUGGGCGCUAGGAACUGUGUAUCAAUGAAAUCAAAGUGCCAUAUGCUUUGAAAAUUUUUCUUAUUGCAUUUCAGAACAACAUAAUUAGACAUUCAUCCUCUUGAUAUUUACCACCACAACUAUCACACCAAAAGCUUUUGAGGAACAAAUCAAAGUUUUGCUUCUGGGUUGAGGCAAUCUGGCCAAAAUAGAAAACAACACCUAAAACAGUUAUGAUAAAGGAAACAAAAAAGAAGGAAGAAGAAGAAAAAGAAAAGAAAUGGUGCAAAACGAUCAGAAUAAGGUAUACACACACACACAGAUAUACAUAUAUAUAAACCAAUUUGAAGGUAAAGACUGAAGGACAAGGUGAAUCUGACCAGCCUUUUUAAUUUUAUUUUAACAAAGCCCCAGAAAAAUUUGAAGUAACAAAUAAAGUGUGCAAUACAACUCAAGAAAAUCUCUGAUGAAAAAAUUUUUGAUUAUGAAAAAAGCAACAUUUCCUGCCAAAGAAAAACAUAUAAAUAUCUUAUCAAAGAUGAUCCAACAAAAUCUACACACUGGCAAUGAGAUGUGUAACUGUCUUUUAGCAGCAGAUGCACAUAUACUAUGUCAUAAGCAUGCACAAUUACCUCCACAUGUGUGCUUACCAUAUACUGUAUGCAUGCGCCCAGUAACAGCAUGCGCCCAAUACGGGGCACAUGGGAAAUGAUAAUGAAGUUUAAUUUGAUCUCAAAAAACUCCUACAUCAGGAGUCAAGGUCAACCUAAGUGGAUGAUGUCUGUCAUUAUAUCCAAAUUUUUGUGUUUUAAAGCAGUGCCAUGACCUGUAUUAACCAGCUAAAAUAUGCAACACAGAAACAAUGCACGGCUAGUUCAAUAGUAAUCGUAAACCUCAUAAUACCCACCGUAUAUAAUGAUUGGCCUAAUUCACUUAUGUUUAUACCAUGCUUAGGAAUCAAGUGACAGGUUCAAAAACAUCCUGCAUGUAACCUCUGAAGAAAUAUGGAGCAUAAGGAAAUUGGAAUUGAAUGUUCAGAAGCAUACCUCAUGUUGUUUCUGUAGUUUUUUAGCCUGUUCUAGAUCCUGUAGUUGCUGUGCAACCUUGCGUUUUUCAGCUGCAAGUUCUUCUUGUAGAAGGGUUUUCUGCUUCUCCCAUGACUGAAACUUCAUCAGAGUCAUCUUCUCCCUCUUUGAUACUUCUUGACAGCUUGCAGCUGACUCUGCUGCACGCAAUUUUGCAGCCUCCAUCUCUUGCCUCAGUGCAGCAUUCUCUACCUCAAGCCUCCGAACAGCAGAAUUAGCUCUCUCCACCUGCCCACUAGCCUUGCCCAAAGCAUUUUCCAUCUCCGUGAGCUUCUUCAUGGUGUUCUCUUCCAGAGUUUGUUUCUCUUUCUUGAGUCGUUCAACUUCUUCCCUCUCCAGCCUGAGUGACUUAAGUUCAGCCUUAUCCUUGCUCAAUCUUCGAGCAGCCUGCAUAACUUUCUGGUUUGCCCACUCUGUCCAUUCUUGGAGCUGAUUUUGCAAUUCUCGAACUGCAGGAACCAGCUUCAUAAUCAUCUCAUCCUUCUUGUCCCUUGGAACCCACUGUGUUAGCGACUUAUCAUAUUGUAUACCAGCAAAACUGCAAUUAGGUUCCUCGGUGUUACAGUCAAUAGAGGCUGAAGUGGAGUGAAUUUUUGCAGGCAAUGAAAGUGAGAGCUCUGUAUCAGUAGCGGCCAAUACAGGAGAAGCGUUGAGUGCAGGCAAUGUGGAUGGGAUGUUGACCGAGGCUAGUGUAGAUGGGACAUUGGUCUUGGGCAAAGAACAAGUUGUACUUGAACUUUCUAAAUUAGAAGAUGCUGGGGGAGAGGAUCCAGGAUUGAUUGAAAGACUCUGGCUUCCAUUAUCUUGAGGCAUGUCAAUUCCCAUUACCUUACUCAAUCUUAGAGAAGCAUUAUUUAUUUUUAGAGCAGAAUCUGAAACAGAUUUUAGUUUCUUAUCCAAAAUCAAACUACUCAACUUUCCAGUUCUUGAUCCUUUAGGCCCAUAUGUUCGGAAGCCCUUCUCCAAAUGAAGUGACUUCUGUCGAAGUAUGUUUUCUCUCUUGGUGCUAUUGGAAUGAACCUUUCUAUUGACAAUAAACUUUUCUUCCAACAUAGAAGGUUGAGAAGUUGCUGCAAUGUUGAAAGAUUUAUCAGCAGGAUCACAUGUAGAAUUCAAUGCAUCUUUAUCUGAGGCUAAUCCACUAAGAACACUGGGGUUCUUUCGGUUGGUUACGUUGGGAACUCCUGUCUUGUUGUUGGGUGCCUCAAAUUGAGAACUAUGAGAACAAGGAACAGAAGGUUCCAAUUUACAAGGAUUUGGAAGAAUUAACUCAGAACAUUUGGCUUCUGCUUUCAUCUGGGGUUGGGAAGAAAUAGAGGAAGUCCCAUUUGAAGCCCCAUCAGCAGCAAAACUACUCAAGGGAUCACCAUCCAUUGCACAAGCAUGAGAGACAUUCAUGUCAGAAAUCAACAAGCACCACAUUGCAUCACCAGUGCUGAAGAAAGGCCUAACUUCUCGAAGUACACAAACCAUUUCUGCCAAUAUAUACUUUUCCAGCUGCUGUAAAUCCUCAAAACAGUAUUCCCUCGAUGGAUCAAUCACCCGACCAUUUCUAAGAAAUGCUAAAGUAUUAUCCACAAUAUUUGACACAGUGUCUUUACACCCAUAACAAAGACCAGACCUCAAAACAGCCUUUGUAGCAACAUCUUCAGUAUAACCACAAGCAACAAUCUUUUUAAUGGCACUCUUGAAGAUUGCAUCCAAAUUGCUUAACACAAGUUCUUCUAGCUGGGAUUCUGUAAGAUCACUCCAAUCAGCUUCAUGGGAUUCUUCUGAUUCCAAUUCCUCUCUAGACUGGCUUGUUCCAACUUCUGAUGAUCCUAUGCCACUUGACAAUCCAAGGUCUAGUAUCAACCCAUCAGAAUUGUCUUGGUUAAUGCCACACAGGUCACACCCAUGAAUUGGAGUAGCUUCAAAUUUCUCAGCAGAGAAUUCAUAACCAGAGCAUUCAUUCUGAGGUGAAGUCAUAACCUUGCUGGGGUCACCCAAAGGUGGAUCAGCCCGGAAUUUUCUCUUAUUUCUGCUUCCUUUUUCUUGGACUGGAUGCAAUGGUGACACCUGACUGCUACAGCAACUACUACUGGAUUUAGCAACCAUUGAUGCCAUUUUUUUAGCUUUUUAUCUUCCUAUCAACCUUAACGAAUCAAAAAUCAAAUUUCGGAUUUCUCAGGUUAUUGUUGGAGCAAAAUCAAAGGCACGCGAGACGAAUCUCAGAACAUUGAAGGAAAAAAGAAUACAAAAAUAUAUAUAUGGCUCGUUUUGGUAUAUUUUCAAUUUUCCUUUUUGAUUUAGUAGCUAACGCCUGUCCUCUCCUCUCCCCUCCUCUGCUCUCCUCACCCUCACUCUCUCUACAAAAUAAAUAUGGCCUUUAUGAAUUUUUAUAAUUUGUUGUUUU